This 1592-nucleotide ribosomal RNA is filed under the name Aegotheles bennettii. RNAcentral's name for it is "16S ribosomal RNA". It matches the Rfam family "Bacterial large subunit ribosomal RNA", at positions 435 to 2837 of the family's 2925-position model. The record is from RNAcentral. Lineage: Eukaryota; Metazoa; Chordata; Aves; Caprimulgiformes; Aegothelidae.
AGCCUAACCCUAGCCCGACCACCCCUUACCAGCCAAAAGAUUAAAAACCCUCCCCCAUCAAAAAUUAAACCAUUCUACAAACCUAGUAUGGGCGACAGAAAAGACUCUUACACGGCGCGAUAGAGACCUGUACCGCAAGGGAACGAUGAAAUAAUAGUGAAACUCCAAGCAGCGAACAGCAAAGAUAAACUCUUGUACCUUUUGCAUCAUGGUUUAGCAAGAACACCCAAGCAAAAUGAAUUUAAGCUUGCUACCCCGAAACCCAAGCGAGCUACUUGCAAGCAGCUAUCAUUGAGCGAACCCGUCUCUGUUGCAAAAGAGUGGGACGACUUGUUAGUAGAGGUGAAAAGCCUAUCGAGCUGGGUGAUAGCUGGUUGCCUGUAAAACGAAUCCAAGUUCUCUCUUGACCCUUCCUCAUGGAUCUAUAAGCCACCCCCUCACGUAACAGGUCAAGAGUAAUUUAAAGGGGGUACAGCUCCUUUAAAAAAGAACACACUCUCCCCUAGCGGAUAACAGCCACCUCAUUUCCACCUAAUUGUAGGCCUUUAAGCAGCCAUCAACAAAGAGUGCGUCAAAGCUCUUCAUCUAAAAAUACGAAAACAACUAGAAUCCCUUCUCACCAACAGGCUAUUCUAUGUCCAUAGAAGCAUAAAUGCUAAAAUAAGUAACCAGGGAGCCCCCUCUCGAGCGCAAACUUACAUCCCUACAUUAUUAACAGACUAACUUAUAUUCCAACCCAGACAAGACCCAAUAUCAACCCCCUACCCUGUUAAUCCAACUCAGGAGCGCCCACUAGAAAGAUUUAAACCCGUAAAAGGAACUAGGCAAGCCAAAGGCCCGACUGUUUACCAAAAACAUAGCCUUCAGCCUAACCAAGUAUUGAAGGUGAUGCCUGCCCAGUGACAUUACGUUCAACGGCCGCGGUAUCCUAACCGUGCAAAGGUAGCGCAAUCAAUUGUCCCAUAAAUCGAGACUUGUAUGAACGGCUAAACGAGGUCUUAACUGUCUCUUACGGAUAAUCGGUGAAAUUGAUCUUCCUGUGCAAAAGCAGGAAUAAACCCAUAAGACGAGAAGACCCUGUGGAACUUAAAAAUCAGCUGCCACUCUACCCAGACCAAACCCUAUCAGGCACAACAUCCAAGAACUGGCCCGCUUUUUUCGGUUGGGGCGACCUUGGAGAAAAACAAAACCUCCAAAAACAAGACCACCCCUCUUAACCAAGAACAACCCUUCAAAGUACUAACAGUAACCAGACCCAGUAUAACUGAUCAAUGGACCAAGCUACCCCAGGGAUAACAGCGCAAUCUCCCUCAAGAGCCCAUAUCGACAGGGAGGUUUACGACCUCGAUGUUGGAUCAGGACAUCCUAAUGGUGCAGCCGCUAUUAAGGGUUCGUUUGUUCAACGAUUAACAGUCCUACGUGAUCUGAGUUCAGACCGGAGCAAUCCAGGUCGGUUUCUAUCUAUGAUAAAUUCCUUCUAGUACGAAAGGACCGAAGGAAUGAGGCCAAUACCACAAGCAUGCCUCCCCUCUAAGUGAUGAACCCAACUAAACCACUAAAAGGAUCUUCCCCCUCUUCCUAGAAAAGGAACG